CAGUCGCCGCGGUAAUACAGAGGGUGCAAGCGUUAAUCGGAAUUACUGGGCGUAAAGCGCGCGUAGGUGGUUUGUUAAGUUGGAUGUGAAAGCCCCGGGCUCAACCUGGGAACUGCAUCCAAAACUGGCAAGCUAGAGUACGGUAGAGGGUGGUGGAAUUUCCUGUGUAGCGGUGAAAUGCGUAGAUAUAGGAAGGAACACCAGUGGCGAAGGCGACCACCUGGACUGAUACUGACACUGAGAUGCGAAAGCGUGGGGAGCAAACAGGAUUAGAUACCCGCGUAGUCCCUGUCUCUUAUAA
This 301-nucleotide ribosomal RNA is filed under the name uncultured bacterium. RNAcentral describes it as "partial 16S ribosomal RNA". It matches the Rfam family "Bacterial small subunit ribosomal RNA", at positions 509 to 809 of the family's 1533-position model. The record is from RNAcentral.